GAUGAACGCUGGCGGCGUGCCUAAAACAUGCAAGUCGAACGCAUCCUUCGGGGUGAGUGGCAGACGGGUGAGUAACGCGUGGGAACAUGCCCUUCAGUUCGGAAUAACCCAGGGAAACUUGGGCUAAUACCGGAUACGUGCGAGAGCAGAAAGAUUUAUCGCUGAAGGAGUGGCCCGCGUCUGAUUAGCUAGUUGGUGAGGUAAAGGCUCACCAAGGCGACGAUCAGAGCUGGUCUGAGAGGAUGAUCAGCCACACUGGGACUGAGACACGGCCCAGACUCCUACGGGAGGCAGCAGUGGGGAAUAUUGGACAAUGGGCGCAAGCCUGAUCCAGCCAUGCCGCGUGAGUGAUGAAGGCCUUAGGGUUGUAAAGCUCUUUCGGC
This 383-nucleotide ribosomal RNA is filed under the name uncultured bacterium. RNAcentral describes it as "bacterial SSU rRNA". It matches the Rfam family "Bacterial small subunit ribosomal RNA", at positions 28 to 440 of the family's 1533-position model. The record is from RNAcentral.